This is a non-coding RNA of Delphinapterus leucas (beluga whale), 698 nucleotides long. NCBI's taxonomy places the organism in Eukaryota, Metazoa, Chordata, Mammalia, Artiodactyla, Monodontidae. The record is from RefSeq and is a predicted model, not a curated record.
GGCCCUCGUUUACGAGCGGGACCCGGUGGCUCCGCGCGGUGGUGGCUGGAGGGAUUGUAGUGCUGGGAAGAUGGGGGCGCCCCUGCCCGCGCCUCACGUCUCCUCCACCCCCAGGCGGGUGUCCAGGGUAACGUCUGAAGGUCGCGGCAUAACAACGAUAAAAAGGAUGAACUAUUGAUGCACCCAGCAGCCUGUGCGAGUCUGCAGAGAAUUAUGAACGAAAAAUGCCAAUCCCCAAAUGCUUUGCAGGCAGCAGUAAACAACAGCAACGACCAUAGAACGAACUCUGCCCCCCUGUAAGGGUGCCGGGGUAGCCUUCGAAGCACAUUAACGCGAUUCAAAAGUUAGACAAGUUGACUCUCAAGUUCAUAUGCGGAAAUAAAGAAGCAGAGAAAGCCAGGAAAACCCUGAAAGAGAGGAGCGAUGAGGAGACUGCCCCGCACCAGGUAGCGACUCGCAUCAGGAAAGCUCUGUAGUUGAAAGAGUGACAGAUGUGGCUGGAUAUAACGUUCAGAGCCAGGCAUAUACAGAAACAGGAUAUGGGUCCAGAAACGUGCAGACAGCUCUUUGGUGGCCUGUCAAAUCAUCAGUGAAAAUACAGACUUUGUAACAAAUGGAGUUGGAACAACCGGAAAGCCAUCUGAAAGAGUAAAAAUUGGAUCUACAUUUCCCAAACACCAGGAUCAACUCUAAAUGGA